GAAAUUGAAAAACCACUUCAGCCUUAACGAAGUGGAAUAAGCACACAAGGUUGCUUUACAUUUUUGUUUCUUUAAAAUGAGGGAUAUGUAAUGCAAGUCCAUUUUUGGGGACUUGUCUGUGGAGGAGGAUGCCAGCAGUGAUGAUAUAUCUUUGGAUGGACUAGAGCAAGAACUGGAAGAAUGCAAAAAUGAGGAUGUAGUUGCAAACAUACUAUCUGAAGGUACAAAAUUAAGGGAGUAUACAAAGGGGGUUGAGAACAAUUUAC
Molecule: long non-coding RNA, 266 nt
Organism: Quercus lobata
Lineage: Eukaryota; Viridiplantae; Streptophyta; Magnoliopsida; Fagales; Fagaceae
Exons: 3
Source: RefSeq, a predicted model, not a curated record